UACGAAGGGGGUUAGCGUUGCUCGGAAUCACUGGGCGUAAAGGGUGCGUAGGCGGGUCUUUAAGUCAGGGGGGAAAUCCUGGAGCUCAACUCCAGAACUGCCUUUGAUACUGAAGAUCUUGAGUUCGGGAGAGGUGAGUGGAACUGCGAGUGUAGAGGUGAAAUUCGUAGAUAUUCGCAAGAACACCAGUGGCGAAGGCGGCUCACUGGCCCGAUACUGACGCUGAGGCACGAAAGCGUGGGGAGCAAACAGG
This 253-nucleotide ribosomal RNA is filed under the name uncultured bacterium. RNAcentral's name for it is "partial 16S ribosomal RNA". It matches the Rfam family "Bacterial small subunit ribosomal RNA", at positions 524 to 776 of the family's 1533-position model. The record is from RNAcentral.